Molecule: long non-coding RNA, 1581 nt
Filed under: Canis lupus familiaris (dog)
Lineage: Eukaryota; Metazoa; Chordata; Mammalia; Carnivora; Canidae
Description: lncRNA (ENSCAFG00040008523.1)
Source: RNAcentral
AUGCCUGGGGCAGCUCUGCUUCAGGCUGUGGGGACCAGGAUGGUUUUUCUUAUAUCUGUUAUCCUUUUCUUGAGACUCGAUCACCAGCUGGGGUAUGUUCUCAUGAGAAAGGCAGAAAUUUUAGAGAGCAAGUGGAAACACAGGAGGAUAUUGAGGUCUUGGCUCAGAAACUGCAUACUUCUAACCUACAUGCCAAUGGCCCAAAUGGAUUACAAGCCAACUCCAAGUCAAGCGAUGGAGAAGUCCACUCUCUCUUCCUUCAGGCCACACAAAGCCAUGCUGCGUUUGUUCUCAGAUGAAACCUGCAGUGAUUGAAAGACUGACAAUGAGAAUUCAUGAAGAGAUUGAUGGCUAAGAAGAAAAGAGACUUUUCAUGAGGCAAGAGGGGAAGCGUAGGAAAAGUGAGAGGAAGACCAAAAGGAAUAUAUAGGAAGCAAACAUUUACUGUUAUGCACAACAUCUGUUAACAGAAACAAAGAGAAGGAAGCUAUGCCUGAGCAUCAAUUUCUGAGAGAAAUUAGGAGAAUCUGGUCAUGAACUCUCAUAACCAACCAGCAGGUGGGGCCAAAGGCCAAGAAGAACUGGUAAUUGUCAGGGUGCAUCCAAGACCUUUUAGGGUGAAAAAGCAUUGAAGAGAGGCGUGGAAGUCAGUAAUCAGCAUAGUAUGGAAUAUUCAUUACCCUACAGGAGGUUGAGUUUUCCCUGCUCACAGAGCAUGAAGUUGGUGGGCCAGUCCUUACUAUCUUUUUUUCACCUAAUUUUUCAUUUAAUUUGUUAUCUGUGGUCCUUUUUUAAAACAUUAGGUUCACAAAAAUGGACAUUGCUAUUAGUCUUAUUAUGAAGGAUUAAAAAUUGUAAAAGAUACAUAAUACUUUAUGUUGUCAUUAAGAUUUCAAGACCUUGAAGUGGAUAAAAACAUAAUGGCAUCACUGCCUUUCAUAUUUAAAAUGGUUUUGGCAUUGACAGCCCAUAUCUCAGAAAAAUGGCCAGUCACCACACAUUCUCAUUGCAAAAAAUUUCAGGUACAGCCUGUUGUCAUUGAAAACAAACUGUGGAAACUAGCUGUUCAAAAGUAUAACUAAUGUAUUUUUAAACCAUGUUUUAAAAUAUUUUGAGAUGUACUAAAAUAGCUCUUGAUUAGAUGAAAAUAACUUUGUACUUCAUCAAUAAAAAUAAUUGUGCUUUUUCAUAUUUAUAAGUAGUAUGGGAAGUUAAUGUCGACUCUUUUUUAGAUUAUUAUUCAAUGUUGCCAUUUUUGACAUUAAGCACCAUGAUCCACCCCAAAAUAAUUUUCUUUAGAGGUGAUCUAUUCAAAUAUGUGUUAACAUUACCAUAUAAAUGAUGAUAGUUAAAUUUAUUAUUAGUAAAUGGAAAUCCUACUGUUGCACACACUUAACACUUCUUUUGCAAUCUGAUCUAUUUUAAAUGUAUUCUUUAACAUAAUUAUAUAAAGACAAAUUUAAUCUUAAUAUGUCAGAAAGUAUUAUCAUCUUGCAAGCAGUACUCCAAGGUUAAUAAUGUCUGGGAAUAUAAAGUGUUUUUGACUGUAAGAUUAGUCUUCUUAUUUGAAAAAGGCUUUAA